AAAUAAAAACAGAUUCCCAUUUUCCAUACUAAAAAAUACAACAUGGAAACAGAUUUUCAACCCAAUCUCCAAUGUUCUGCUCUGUUCAAGAGCCUACAGAGACCAAAUAAUUUCAAAAUAUACACCAUGCAAACUGAUUGCAAUUUGCAAGAGAAACCAUAUAAAUUCGAAGAACAACAGAGCACACGAGUCUAGGAAAUACAUAUCAAAACGCUUCGCUUUCCUUCCACAGAUACAAAACCACACACAAACAAAGAAAAAAGCAUGUUCAGAUAACUUUCAAGUCCACUAGCUAGAAGUAACCCUAUCAAAACAAGAGUGUUCGGAUUGGUGCCCAGUCGGGCCAGUCCGACAAUUGUUACUUCACAAUCUUAACCGAGCCCUUCCUCUUCAUGUCAAUCAUUGAAACUCCAUUACCUCCCACAUUGUAUAGCCAAUCCCGAGUGCAUAAUAAUGCCUUCGCAUUUUUUGGAAUGGUUGAGAAGCAAAAUUUGUCAAUUAUUCACCCUCCUAUACGGAUUGCCGACUCAGAAGCAACGGUGGUGAUGGAAUGCUCAACACAUCACGUGCCAUUAACUCUGAUUUGAUUCUAGCUAGCCCACAUUCUUGACUCUCAAAUAGGUCACUCCUACAAAAAAAUUUGCACCGUCGGUGUAUCAAAAUGCCAAAUUCGUGCAAGAAAUUUAAUUAUACAAAAUUAUACAUACUUACAUCCAUUUCAUACUAUUCCCCACCUAAUAUACAGACAAUGACGAAACACAAAAAAAAAAUCAACUCUGACCUAGUCAUAAAUUAAUGACUCAGAUGCACCUACUAAUGACUCAGAUCCACCUGCUAAUACUAUUCCCCACAAGGCCACAAUGACUCAGAUCCAUCUACACAAGGGGUCUAUAUAAACCUUGUUGAUUCAAGUUCAAAGGCAUUCUGCAGUACCCAACUACUCAAAGAUAGAAAGAAGAAGAUACAAAUGUCUACCAUGGAGUAGAACACCUUUUCUAGUUCCUUCCCUUAGGAACUAGCAGUAUGUUAUCCUUUCCUAAAGUUUGUUUGAGAGUUAUGUAAAGAUGAAAAAAUACUACUAAAAAAGAGUGUGAUCGGUGACGAGGAGGUCGGUCUGUUCCUCAAUUUGCAGUUUGUUAACCAAAGCUUCAUUCACGUAGCUAUUGGCCUUUGCUUGUAGCAGUCCAACUGCAUAUCGAUCAGACGGAUCAGUAUCCGAGUUGCAGAGCAUGGUGUCCAACGAAAUGGAAAGUGGUCCAGGGAUCUAAGCUUACGAAAUUUACAUGGCGUCCAAAGAAAUGGUGUUAUUCCCAGUAGGGGGUGGUCCAUCAAUACUGCUACAACAACUGCCCGAGUGAAGCUUGCCCGUUUAUCCAGCCGAUCCUUUGUUUUAUUUCCUUUCCUUUCCUUUCCUUUAUGUUCUACUAAUAAAGUUGUUGUAUGUUAAACUUCUGAAUAAAAGCUGCUCAUGAUCUUGCUAGAGCAGCUUCAAAUGUUGGUUUAUGAUAUAAUAAUGGGAUGUUCGUGUUUUGUCUAAAGUAAUGAUAAAUAUUGGAGCUUGCAUUUGGUCCA
Long non-coding RNA from Rhododendron vialii, 1572 nucleotides. RefSeq lists it as uncharacterized. The record is from RefSeq and is a predicted model, not a curated record. NCBI's taxonomy places the organism in Eukaryota, Viridiplantae, Streptophyta, Magnoliopsida, Ericales, Ericaceae. The transcript has 2 exons.